RNAcentral lists this ribosomal RNA (468 nucleotides) under uncultured bacterium. RNAcentral describes it as "partial 16S ribosomal RNA". It matches the Rfam family "Bacterial small subunit ribosomal RNA", at positions 28 to 507 of the family's 1533-position model. The record is from RNAcentral.
GACGAACGCUGGCGGCGUGCUUAACACAUGCAAGUCGAACGGAAAGGCCCUGCUUUUGUGGGGUGCUCGAGUGGCGAACGGGUGAGUAACACGUGAGUAACCUGCCCUUGACUUUGGGAUAACUUCAGGAAACUGGGGCUAAUACCGGAUAGGAGCUCCUGCUGCAUGGUGGGGGUUGGAAAGUUUCGGCGGUUGGGGAUGGACUCGCGGCUUAUCAGCUUGUUGGUGGGGUAGUGGCUUACCAAGGCUUUGACGGGUAGCCGGCCUGUGAGGGUGACCGGCCACAUUGGGACUGAGAUACGGCCCAGACUCCUACGGGAGGCAGCAGUGGGGAAUAUUGCACAAUGGGCGGAAGCCUGAUGCAGCGACGCCGCGUGCGGAAUGACGGCCUUCGGGUUGUAAACCGCUUUCGCCUGUGACGAAGCGUGAGUGACGGUAAUGGGUAAAGAAGCACCGGCUAACUACGUG